RNAcentral lists this ribosomal RNA (253 nucleotides) under uncultured bacterium. RNAcentral describes it as "partial 16S ribosomal RNA". It matches the Rfam family "Bacterial small subunit ribosomal RNA", at positions 524 to 776 of the family's 1533-position model. The record is from RNAcentral.
UACGAAGGGUCCAAGCGUUAUCCGGAUUUAUUGGGUUUAAAGGGUGCGUAGGCGGCUUAUUAAGUCAGUGGUGAAAGACUUCAGCUUAACUGAAGAACUGCCAUUGAUACUGAUGAGCUUGAAUAUACUUGAGGUUGGCGGAAUGUGUCAUGUAGCGGUGAAAUGCUUAGAUAUGACACAGAACACCGAUUGCGAAGGCAGCUAGCUAAAGUAUGAUUGACGCUGAGGCACGAAAGCGUGGGGAGCAAACAGG